This 378-nucleotide unclassified non-coding RNA is filed under the name plant metagenome. RNAcentral's name for it is "partial contains 5.8S ribosomal RNA, internal transcribed spacer 2, and large subunit ribosomal RNA". The stretch from base 1 to 105 matches the Rfam family "5.8S ribosomal RNA", at positions 50 to 154 of the family's 154-position model. The record is from RNAcentral.
GAAAUGCGAUAAGUAAUGUGAAUUGCAGAAUUCAGUGAAUCAUCGAAUCUUUGAACGCACCUUGCGCUCCUUGGUAUUCCUUGGAGCAUGCCCGUUUGAGUAUCAUGAAAUCUUCAAAGUAAAUCUUUUGUUAACUCAAUUGGUUUCUACUUUGGUAUUGGAGGUCUUUGCAGCUUCACACCUGCUCCUCUUUGUUCAUUAGCUGGAUCUCAGUGUUAUGCUUGGUUCCACUCGGCGUGAUAAGUUAUCUAUCUCUGAGGACACUGUAAAAGGUGGCCAAGGUAAAUGCAGAUGAACCGCUUCUAAUAGUCCAUUGACUUGGACAAUACUUUUAUGAUCUGAUCUCAAAUCAGGUAGGACUACCCGCUGAACUUAAGC